GACGAACGCUGGCGGCGUGCUUAACACAUGCAAGUCGAACGGAAAGGCCCUGCUUUUGUGGGGUGCUCGAGUGGCGAACGGGUGAGUAACACGUGAGUAACCUGCCCUUGACUUUGGGAUAACUUCAGGAAACUGGGGCUAAUACCGGAUAGGAGCUCCUGCUGCAUGGUGGGGGUUGGAAAGUUUCGGCGGUUGGGGAUGGACUCGCGGCUUAUCAGCUUGUUGGUGGGGUAGUGGCUUACCAAGGCUUUGACGGGUAGCCGGCCUGAGAGGGUGACCGGCCACAUGGGGAAGGAGAACCGGCCCAAACCCCUAGGGGGGGAAGAGGUGGGGAAUAUUGCAAAAGGGGCGGAAGCCAGGUGGCGAAACGCCGGGGGGGGGAAGACGGCCUUGGGGUUGUAAACCGGUUUCCCCUGGGACGAAGCGUGGGGGACUGUAAUGGGGAAAGAAGCACCGGCUAACUACGU
This 467-nucleotide ribosomal RNA is filed under the name uncultured bacterium. RNAcentral describes it as "partial 16S ribosomal RNA". It matches the Rfam family "Bacterial small subunit ribosomal RNA", at positions 28 to 506 of the family's 1533-position model. The record is from RNAcentral.